Molecule: ribosomal RNA, 799 nt
Filed under: uncultured bacterium
Lineage: Bacteria
Description: bacterial SSU rRNA
Rfam family: Bacterial small subunit ribosomal RNA
Source: RNAcentral
AGAGUUUGAUCCUGGCUCAGAACGAACGCUGGCGGCGUGGAUAAGACAUGCAAGUCGAACGCUGACAUUCGGGUAGCAAUAUUCGGAUGUUGGAGUGGCGCAAGGGUGUGUAACACGUGGGCAAUCUGCUAUAAAGCCUGGGAUAACUCGCUGAAAGGCGAGCUAAUACCGGAUGUGAACGCAAGUUCAAAGUUGGGGAUCGCAAGACCUGACACUUUAUGAUGAGCCCGCGGCCUAUCAGCUAGUUGGUGAGGUAACGGCUCACCAAGGCUAAGACGGGUAGCUGGUCUGAGAGGACGACCAGCCACACUGGAACUGAGACACGGUCCAGACACCUACGGGUGGCAGCAGUCGAGAAUUUUUCUCAAUGGGGGAAACCCUGAAGGAGCGACGCCGCGUGGGGGAUGAAUGGCUUCGGCCCGUAAACCCCUGUCAUUUGUGAACAAGUUGAUUCACCUAACACGUGAAUCAUUGAUAGUAGCGAAAGAGGAAGGGACGGCUAACUCUGUGCCAGCAGCCGCGGUAAUACAGAGGUCCCAAGCGUUGUUCGGAUUCACUGGGCGUAAAGGGUGCGUAGGCGGUUAGGUAAGUCUGACGUGAAAUCUCCGGGCCUAACCCGGAAACUGCGUUGGAUACUAUCUGACUCGAGGAAUGGAGGGGAGACUGGAAUACUUGGUGUAGCAGUGAAAUGCGUAGAUAUCAAGUGGAACACCAGUGGCGAAGGCGAGUCUCUGGACAUUUCCUGACGCUGAGGCACGAAAGCCAGGGGAGCAAACGGGAUUAGAUACCCCCGUAGUCC